Molecule: ribosomal RNA, 764 nt
Filed under: Diversispora aurantia
Lineage: Eukaryota; Fungi; Glomeromycota; Glomeromycetes; Diversisporales; Diversisporaceae
Description: SSU rRNA
Rfam family: Eukaryotic small subunit ribosomal RNA
Source: RNAcentral
UGCAUUACGGGUACGGGGAUUAGGGUUCGAUUCCGGAGAGGGAGCCUGAGAAACGGCUACCACAUCCAAGGAAGGCAGCAGGCGCGCAAAUUACCCAAUCCCGACACGGGGAGGUAGUGACAAUAAAUAACAAUACGGGGCUCAUUUGGGUCUCGUAAUUGGAAUGAGUACAAUUUAAAUCCCUUAACGAGGAACAAUUGGAGGGCAAGUCUGGUGCCAGCAGCCGCGGUAAUUCCAGCUCCAAUAGCGUAUAUUAAAGUUGUUGCAGUUAAAAAGCUCGUAGUUGAACCUCGGGGUCUACCCAUUGGUCAGGCUUAAUUGUCUGCACUGGUGAGAUGGAUCUCUACCUUCUGAGGAACUUUCAUGCCAUUUAUUUGGUGUGAUGGGAAAUCAGGACUGUUACUUUGAAAAAAUUAGAGUGUUUAAAGCAGACUAUCGUCUGAAUACAUUAGCAUGGAAUAAUGAAAUAGGACGGACUGAUUCUAUUUCGUUGGUUUCUAGGAUCACCGUAAUGAUUAAUAGGGAUAGUUGGGGGCAUUAGUAUUCAAUUGUCAGAGGUGAAAUUCUUGGAUUUAUUGAAGACUAACUACUGCGAAAGCAUUUGCCAAGGAUGUUUUCAUUAAUCAAGAACGAAAGUUAGGGGAUCGAAGACGAUCAGAUACCGUCGUAGUCUUAACCAUAAACUAUGCCGACUAGGGAUCGGACGAAGUUAAUUUUAUAAUGACGCGUUCGGCACCUUACGGGAAACCAANGUNUUNNGGGNU